GCAAACUUGGUCAUUUAGAGGAAGUAAAAGUCGUAACAAGGUUUCCGUAGGUGAACCUGCGGAAGGAUCAUUAGUGAACGCCCUCACGGGCUUAUAACUAUUCCAAACCUCUGUGAACCGUGCCCUUCGGGGCUAUUUUACAAACAUGGUGUAAUGAACGUCAUAUAUCAUAACAAAACAAAACUUUCAACAACGGAUCUCUUGGCUCUCAGAGACAGGCAAACUUGGUCAUUUAGAGGAAGUAAAAGUCGUAACAAGGUUUCCGUAGGUGAACCUGCGGAAGGAUCAUUAGUGAACGCCCUCACGGGCUUAUAACUAUUCCAAACCUCUGUGAACCGUGCCCUUCGGGGCUAUUUUACAAACAUGGUGUAAUGAACGUCAUAUAUCAUAACAAAACAAAACUUUCAACAACGGAUCUCUUGGCUCUCGCAUCGAUGAAGAACGCAGC
RNAcentral lists this unclassified non-coding RNA (448 nucleotides) under uncultured fungus. RNAcentral's name for it is "partial contains small subunit ribosomal RNA, internal transcribed spacer 1, and 5.8S ribosomal RNA". The stretch from base 1 to 73 matches the Rfam family "Eukaryotic small subunit ribosomal RNA", at positions 1759 to 1831 of the family's 1831-position model. The record is from RNAcentral. Lineage: Eukaryota; Fungi.